ACAAACUGAAAAUUACUUUUGGCCUCUUCAGUAGCCUUUAGUAAGAUCUCUGUGCCUACAUGAACAGGAGCAUUAAGCUCAUUACCCAUCAACUGUAUGUAUGUAAUGAGACCCGUGUUCCGACAUGU
Bufo gargarizans (Asiatic toad) is the source of this 128-nucleotide small nucleolar RNA. RefSeq annotates it as small nucleolar RNA ACA64. The transcript has a single exon. Lineage: Eukaryota; Metazoa; Chordata; Amphibia; Anura; Bufonidae. The record is from RefSeq and is a predicted model, not a curated record.